RNAcentral lists this ribosomal RNA (934 nucleotides) under Salmonella enterica subsp. enterica. RNAcentral describes it as "partial 23S ribosomal RNA". It matches the Rfam family "Bacterial large subunit ribosomal RNA", at positions 218 to 1190 of the family's 2925-position model. The record is from RNAcentral. Lineage: Bacteria; Pseudomonadati; Pseudomonadota; Gammaproteobacteria; Enterobacterales; Enterobacteriaceae.
AAAGAAAUCAACCGAGAUUCCCCCAGUAGCGGCGAGCGAACGGGGAGGAGCCCAGAGCCUGAAUCAGCAUGUGUGUUAGUGGAAGCGUCUGGAAAGGCGCGCGAUACAGGGUGACAGCCCCGUACACAAAAGCGCAUGUGCUGUGAGCUCGAUGAGUAGGGCGGGACACGUGGUAUCCUGUCUGAAUAUGGGGGGACCAUCCUCCAAGGCUAAAUACUCCUGACUGACCGAUAGUGAACCAGUACCGUGAGGGAAAGGCGAAAAGAACCCCGGCGAGGGGAGUGAAAAAGAACCUGAAACCGUGUACGUACAAGCAGUGGGAGCACAGGUUUACCUGUGUGACUGCGUACCUUUUGUAUAAUGGGUCAGCGACUUAUAUUCUGUAGCAAGGUUAACCGAAUAGGGGAGCCGGAGGGAAACCGAGUCUUAAUUGGGCGUUAAGUUGCAGGGUAUAGACCCGAAACCCGGUGAUCUAGCCAUGGGCAGGUUGAAGGUUGGGUAACACUAACUGGAGGACCGAACCGACUAAUGUUGAAAAAUUAGCGGAUGACCUGUGGCUGGGGGUGAAAGGCCAAUCAAACCGGGAGAUAGCUGGUUCUCCCCGAAAGCUAUUUAGGUAGCGCCUCGUGAAUUCAUCUCCGGGGGUAGAGCACUGUUUCGGCUAGGGGGCCAUCCCGGCUUACCAACCCGAUGCAAACUGCGAAUACCGGAGAAUGUUAUCACGGGAGACACACGGCGGGUGCUAACGUCCGUCGUGAAGAGGGAAACAACCCAGACCGCCAGCUAAGGUCCCAAAGUCAUGGUUAAGUGGGAAACGAUGUGGGAAGGCCCAGACAGCCAGGAUGUUGGCUUAGAAGCAGCCAUCAUUUAAAGAAAGCGUAAUAGCUCACUGGUCGAGUCGGCCUGCGCGGAAGAUGUAACGGGGCUAAACCAU